CAUGGCANUCGAACGGCAGCACGGACUUCGGUCUGGUGGCGAGUGGCGAACGGGUGAGUAACAUAUCGGAACGUAUCCAAUAAUGGGGGAUAACUAAUCGAAAGGUUGGCUAAUACCGCAUACGCCCUACGGGGGAAAGCAGGGGAUCUUCGGACCUUGCGUUAAUGGAGCGGCUGAUAUCUGAUUAGCUAGUUGGUGAGGUAAAGGCUCACCAAGGCGACGAUCAGUAGCUGGUCUGAGAGGACGACCAGCCACACUGGAACUGAGACACGGUCCAGACUCCUACGGGAGGCAGCAGUGGGGAAUUUUGGACAAUGGGCGCAAGCCUGAUCCAGCCAUUCCGCGUGAGUGAAGAAGGCCUUCGGGUUGUAAAGCUCUUUCGCAAGGGAAGAAAACUUACUUUCUAAUAAAGAGUGAGGUUGACGGUACCUUGAUAAGAAGCACCGGCUAACUACGUGCCAGCAGCCGCGGUAAUACGUAGGGUGCGAGCGUUAAUCGGAAUUACUGGGCGUAAAGCGUGCGCAGGCGGUUUUGUAAGUCAGAUGUGAAAUCCCCGAGCUCAACUUGGGAACUGCGUUUGAAACUACAAGACUAGAAUAUGUCAGAGGGGGGUAGAAUUCCACGUGUAGCAGUGAAAUGCGUAGAGAUGUGGAGGAAUACCAAUGGCGAAGGCAGCCCCCUGGGAUAAUAUUGACGCUCAUGCACGAAAGCGUGGGGAGCAAACAGGAUUAGAUACCCUGGUAGUCCACGCCCUAAACGAUGUCUACUAGUUGUUGGUGGAGUAAAAUCCAUGAGUAACGCAGCUAACGCGUGAAGUAAACCGCCUGGGGAGUACGG
Molecule: ribosomal RNA, 837 nt
Filed under: uncultured bacterium
Lineage: Bacteria
Description: SSU rRNA
Rfam family: Bacterial small subunit ribosomal RNA
Source: RNAcentral